RNAcentral lists this ribosomal RNA (460 nucleotides) under uncultured bacterium. RNAcentral describes it as "partial 16S ribosomal RNA". It matches the Rfam family "Bacterial small subunit ribosomal RNA", at positions 338 to 795 of the family's 1533-position model. The record is from RNAcentral.
CCUACGGGUGGCAGCAGUGAGGAAUAUUGGUCAAUGGACGAGAGUCUGAACCAGCCAAGUAGCGUGAAGGAUGACUGCCCUAUGGGUUGUAAACUUCUUUUAUAUGGGAAUAAAAUGUUCCACGUGUGGGAUUUUGUAUGUACCAUAUGAAUAAGGAUCGGCUAACUCCGUGCCAGCAGCCGCGGUAAUACGGAGGAUCCGAGCGUUAUCCGGAUUUAUUGGGUUUAAAGGGUGCGUAGGCGGUUUGUUAAGUCAGUUGUGAAAUUUUGCGGCUCAACCGUAAAAUUGCAGUUGAAACUGGCAGUCUUGAGUACAGUAGAGGUAGGCGGAAUGCGUGGUGUAGCGGUGAAAUGCUUAGAUAUCACGAAGAACUCCGAUUGCGAAGGCAGCUCACUGGACUGAGACUGACGCUGAGGCUCGAAAGUGUGGGUAUCAAACAGGAUUAGAUACCCUUGUAGUC